AAUAAUAGGCAGUAUGGUUAGAGAUCUUUGGAUUAGAGGCCGGGGAGAAGGCCUCUAGUCCAAAGAUCUCUAACCAUACUGCCUAGC
Pelobates cultripes (western spadefoot toad) is the source of this 87-nucleotide non-coding RNA. Lineage: Eukaryota; Metazoa; Chordata; Amphibia; Anura; Pelobatidae. The record is from the annotation of a GenBank genome assembly.